Long non-coding RNA from Oncorhynchus masou masou (cherry salmon), 275 nucleotides. RefSeq lists it as uncharacterized. NCBI's taxonomy places the organism in Eukaryota, Metazoa, Chordata, Actinopteri, Salmoniformes, Salmonidae. The transcript has 3 exons. The record is from RefSeq and is a predicted model, not a curated record.
CCCAACAUCAUCGGCUUCAAGGGUGUGUGCACCCAGGCUCCGUGCUACUGUAUCUUAAUGGAGUAUUGUUCCCAGGGCCAACUCUAUGAGGUUCUGAGGGCCGGACGGAAGGUGACCCCCAGACUGCUGGUGGACUGGGCCUCAGGGAUCGCCUCUGGGAUGAACUACCUGCACCUCCACAAGAUCAUACACAGAGACCUCAAGUCACCCAAUGUGCUGGUGACCCAACAAGACACCGUGAAGAUCAGUGACUUCGGGACGUCCAAGGAGCUCAG